AGGAGCCCAAGUUCUCAUAUUGCUUAACCUCUGUUGAUGACACAAAAGCCAGCACACUAUUGAUGGGAUCUCUAGCAAGUGUGAAAGCAUCAGACAGUGAAAUCAAGACCACCCCUUUAAUCCAGAACUCAGCACAGCCAUCAUUUUACUAUCUUUCCCUUGAAGGAAUAUCAGUGGGUGACACUAGCUUACCUAUCAAGAAAUCUACCUUUUCACUCCAAGAAGAUGGAAGUGGUGGCCUUAUUAUUGACUCUGG
RNAcentral lists this long non-coding RNA (256 nucleotides) under Populus trichocarpa (black cottonwood). RNAcentral describes it as "long non-coding RNA (PTRI_LNC004119)". The record is from RNAcentral. Lineage: Eukaryota; Viridiplantae; Streptophyta; Magnoliopsida; Malpighiales; Salicaceae.